Leptonychotes weddellii (Weddell seal) is the source of this 485-nucleotide non-coding RNA. The record is from RefSeq and is a predicted model, not a curated record. NCBI's taxonomy places the organism in Eukaryota, Metazoa, Chordata, Mammalia, Carnivora, Phocidae.
UGCUCUUGAAAAACAUUAAUAAUAAAGCUCUUUACCUUUUUUUGCGCAGAAGGUAUGUGUGUGUGUCAGAGCAAUAUUAGAGAAGAGAAAUCACAGAAUGUCAGCCGUCUUGUUUCUCAGAAGCAAGACACAGGUCCAGGGACGUCUCAUGCUUCAGCCUCACAGGAGAGCCCCGCGACCCCGGCACUCACCUGAGCAGAACCCUAGGAGCAGGAGGAGCAGCUGUGGCUCCAUGGGCCGUGGGUGCUGGUGUGGACUGGAGGGUAUUGCACUCUGACUGCCUAGGAAAAAAUACAUCCUUCCACCCGGUUCUUGCAUCUAGAUGGAACCAUGUGACUGGAUUCUAGAAAAUGAAAUGUGAGGAGAAAUUUUGAGACUCACAAACCUUUCAGCAGAGCGCAUCCAUGCUCUUCUAGUCUUUUCUUUUUAAACUUUAAAGUAUCCAGUAUCGGGCAUCUGGGUGGCUCAGUUAGUUAAGCAUCAGU